Molecule: ribosomal RNA, 338 nt
Filed under: uncultured Rhodocyclaceae bacterium
Lineage: Bacteria; Pseudomonadati; Pseudomonadota; Betaproteobacteria; Rhodocyclales; Rhodocyclaceae
Description: bacterial SSU rRNA
Rfam family: Bacterial small subunit ribosomal RNA
Source: RNAcentral
CAUGGUUGUCGUCAGCUCGUGUCGUGAGAUGUUGGGUUAAGGUCCCGCAACGAGCGCAACCCUUGUCAUUAGUUGCCAUCAUUUGGUUGGGCACUCUAAUGAGACUGCCGGUGACAAACCGGAGGAAGGUGGGGAUGACGUCAAGUCCUCAUGGCCCUUAUGGGUAGGGCUUCACACGUCAUACAAUGGUCGGUACAGAGGGUUGCCAACCCGCGAGGGGGAGCUAAUCCCACAAAGCCGAUCGUAGUCCGGAUCGCAGUCUGCAACUCGACUGCGUGAAGUCGGAAUCGCUAGUAAUCGUGGAUCAGCAUGUCACGGUGAAUACGUUCCCGGGUCUU